This 1966-nucleotide long non-coding RNA is filed under the name Salmo salar (Atlantic salmon). RNAcentral's name for it is "lncRNA (ENSSSAG00000121507.1)". The record is from RNAcentral. Lineage: Eukaryota; Metazoa; Chordata; Actinopteri; Salmoniformes; Salmonidae.
UGUGCUCGUUACAGAAUCACCGCGCGCUCUGGAAAGAGCGGGAAAGUGGAAAGGCAGUUAGUCAGUUACAACACCUCGUCCCCCCUGAACUGUAACGGAGAGAGACGCCUGACUACCCUGAACUGUAACGGAGAGGUAACGUUAGGUGAGACGCCCGACUACCGGCGACGGGGGGGUGAGAAGGCAGUUUGUCAGUUACAGCAGGCGUCCUCCUGAACGGUAACGGAGAGUGAGAUGCCCGACUACCGGCGACAGGGCAGUGUGAAGGUGAUGAAACGUAAUUCAUGAGCUGUAACCGAAAAACAACUAGCAACUUGGAAAGUUUGAGGUGAGUCUGCUGAGCUAUUUAACUGUAGAGCUGCACAUUAACAAACCUGUCACCCUGUUGUCAGCAACCAGCAGACAGUUCCCUGAGGAAGGAUGCAAUGGUCAAGGCUGUCAAUGACCAGAUUAUGGGGAUGACUAAACGCAAUAAAGGAGUGUAAAAUGUUAUAAAACAAUAACUUUUUCAUUGCCUGUUGGUCUUCACAUUUUCACUAUGGUAACUUAAACAUGCAGACUUAAAUCAAAGACAACACAGAGGUUAUGAUUCAAAAGUUUUUUUUAAAUUAAAAAGUAUCAUGUCCAGGGUGAAUAAAUGUUUUAUUUAUGUAUAUCAGACAUCCCAGCGGGUUUGGCCGGCAGGGAUGUUCUUGUCCAAUCGCGCUCUAGCAACUCCUGUGGCGGGCCGGGCGCAGUGCACGCUGGCACGGUCGCCAGGUGUACGGUGUUUCCUCCAACAUUGGUGCGGCUGGCUUCUGGGUUAAGCGGGUAUUGUGUCAAGAAGCAGUGCAGCUUGGUUGGGUUGUGUUUCGGAGGACGCACGGCUCUCGACAUUCACCUCUGCCGAGUCCGUACGGGAGUUGCAGCGAUGGGACAAGACUAACUACUAAUUAGAUAUCACGAAAUUGGUGAGAAUAAGUGGUAUAAAAAAUAUAUAUAAUUUAAGUAUUUAUAAACCUUGAGACAUGGAUUGUGUAUGUGUGCCAUUCAGAGGGUAAAUUGGCAAGCCAAAAAGUUGUACGGUGCCUUUAAAACGGGGUAUGGUAGUAGGUGCCAGGCGCACCAGUUUGAGUAUAUCAAGAAAUGCAACUCCGAUGGGUUUUUCCACACUCAACCGUUUCCUGUGUGUUUCAAGAAUGGUCCACCACACAAAGGACAUCGAGCCAAGUUAACAACUGUGGGAAACAUUGAAGUCAACCUGGGCCAGCAUUCCUGUGGAACACUUUUGACAACUUGUAAAGUCCAUGUCCUGAUGAAUUGAGGCUGUUCUGAGGGCAAAAAGGGGGGUGCAACUCAAUGUUAGGAAGGUGUUCCUAAUGUUUUGUACACUGUAUAUCAAAGACUAGGUUGAAGAAUGUUAAUAGGCCCCAGGAAGAGUAACGGGAUACUUAAUAAAUACAAAUACAGACAAGUAAAUGUCAGUAGUUGCAUUUGUAUCUAUUUGUAAGAACGAGUGGUUACAAGACAUGUAGACCUUCCAAACACAGAAAGAAGGGUGUUCCACAAUCUUGUUUAACAAAUGGCUAAAAGUCCCAACUGGACAAGUACAAAAAUAAAAUGUUAGUCCUUGAGGAAUGUUCCCCCACCCAGCCACAAUGAAGCCACAAAAGAACCAUGGAAAGUAUUAUAAUAUUAAAGCAAAAACAAAUAAAAUGGGGAAAUAGCAAAUAGAUUUAAAACAAAGCUGAACAAUGCUUGAGUCAUUUAAACCAAAAUAAAUGGAGAAACGGUAUUGUCAGGGUUCGUACAGAUAUUGGCAAGUCUAAUUCAAGGACUUAAGUACUUUUUCAUGCAUUAAUAUUCAUUUUCAAGGACCAUCAAUUUGUAAUAGUUACUGUUAUGCAAUUGUUUCUAGACGCCACCAGGUGGCAGUAUAUUACCCCAACCUCAUGAAAACCCCCCCAACUAACUUACUGUUCAUCAC